GGCGCCCUCCCCUUCGCGUUUUUUUUUCACCAAGGUGUUGUUUACCCACCCCCUCUGUACGCGCGAUCCGAUUGGCCAUGGAGUUUGGGGGAGCUUGAAUUACUCCCAUAACGACGCGGCCUUCCAAAGCGAGCGCGACGUACCGCCCUCGACCUCCCUCUGCGCGAGGGAUCGCCGCGCACCGAGCCCAUUCCCUGCGACGAGACAAGUCUGGAGCGCGCGCGGAGCGUCGGCGUCGGCGUCGGCGCGUCCGGCCCUCGCGCCACGGAUCGCCGCCGAGACCGCGCGGAGCAUAUCCAUCCCGUCGGCGGCAGCGCGUCCGGCCCAUCCCCUGCGAGACGGAUCGCCGCCGAGCCCAUCCCCUGCGAUCCCCUCGACGAGAAGACUUUGUUUUGCCACUCCCCGUCGCCUGCCGCCCACCGGAACGCCGCCGCCGCGGCCAGUCCCAUAAGCGGCCGCCGUUGGCCGGAUUCCGGCCAUCCCUUGUAUGGCAUUUGCAGCUCUUUGGGAUGGUUUGACAAGGCACAUCACAAGCAAAUAUUGGAGGAGCUACUACUAAAAUUUUGAAGUCAGAUUCGUAGUGCAGAAUUUUGGAAAUCAGAACAACUAAACUAUCCAAGGGUAAGGAUGUUUGGCUUGUGCGUUGGAGAUCGGGUCCAGAUGGAAGCGGGCAGGGAGCGCUGCCCGUGGGGGUAGAGAAAGGCACAGCUCGUGAGUGGAUGGAAGGAGGCAGGGAGCGCCCGGCCACCAUUGCCGGCGAGCCAUCGUAUGGCUACUUUCGCGCCGUGCCGACCCCUUCGAGAAGAUCGACAAUGAUGUUGCCAACUGCAAACGCCCUCUCCGGUUCCACCACAAGUGUGUAUCUAUAGCAACAUGCUGUUCUAUUUAAUUCUUUGGCACUGAUCAUCUUGGUGUUAAACUGGUAAUUCAGGAUCUCUACCUGAAUUCCGGGGCAUGAGACGCAGAACACAGGCUGAUCGAGGAAGCUUUUCAAUUGCAUGCUCAUGAAUAGGCCAAUAAUUAUUUGGCUUUGUUGUAGGACAAGUGCCUGAUUGUCCUGCUGCACAGGCAUACAGCUUGAUGGUCUGGUCUUUGAAAGCCCUAGGUAUUCUUCUUGUGUGCUAAACUCUUAGAAUAAGCUUUUUGUCCCAUUUUGCUUUUAGAGAAUGCUGGAGACAGGCAAAGCUCUGCAAUCUUAUCCCUAUUACUUUGGGUUUUAGAUCAGAAAUGGGGGAUGCGUGUUUCUCUACGGAGCUCAUUGACGGUGAUGGGGUUUUCAAUGUCUCCGAAUUGGAGAACUUCAUGAAGGAAGCUAGAUUGGGUGAAUGCGGGCUCUCUUAUGCUGUUGUAUCAAUAAUGGGCCUGCAAAGUAGUGGGAAAAGUACACUUCUGAAUCAUCUUUUUGGCACCAAUUUUAGGAAGACGGAUGCUUUCAAAGGAAGGUCACUACCAAAGGUAUAUGGUUGGCAAAGGCUAAAAAGUAAAAAGAUUGAACCAUGCACCCUUGUAAUGGACAUGGAAGGAACUGAUGGUAAAGAGAGGGGAGAGGUAAUAUAAAUGACAUUGAAUAUUGACAUUGAAUUAUGUUUUGCACUUGAUCAAGCAAGAGACACAAGAGAUGUUGCUCCAGGAUUCAUCAAAGGUAAGCAAUUCGCGUGGCUUUAUCAUCUGACAUGAUUGCUCCAGGAUCUUUUUAAUUAGGUACUGUGGAGGCGCGGAGGAGAUAGUUGGGAUCAAAUUGCUCCGCGGACAGGUGGAAGGGUCUCGCUAGAGAUAUACAUGUGCGGCGAGCGAAAUCAAGGUCCAAGGCCGCCCGCCUGCCCAUGGUCAUGCUAGCGAGAGAGAUCCAAACUGUGGCCAAACUGCAUUCCACUCUCUAUUAAAAGGCCCUGAGGAAGAGGGUGCUUUCUGCUUACCGAUGAAUCUCAAGGCAUGGUAAUAAUGUUUGCCUCUUAAGCGGUGCGCCGGCGGCGGCGAGCGAGGGGCAGCUGCGCGAGGACCGAGGAGGGCCUCCAAGGUCCACUCCUUCCCCGCUCCACCACCGACGUCCAUUGCAGCGUUAUUUGGCAACUGCCUUCUCCGCACGCGAGCGCACCCUUCGCCGCGAUCUCCUUGGUUCUCACCGACGCCGCGCGCCCGAUGCACUCCACCGAUCCACUCGAACCCAAUGGUUUAAGCAGAUCCGCGCUUCCCCGUGAUUGCCGGGGCCCGUCCGCUUGAAGGCGUACCUCACCGAUCUAUGGUCGCUUUGCCCGCCGGCAUCCUCGCCGAUGCCAUCGUGCCCGAUCUGCGCCCCCGCCCUGCCAGUACAGGUGAGCUCCUUGAGAUCCUUGGAAGCAUCAUUAGUGGGCAACCGGGAAGUACAAGGUAUAUUUGGUUGCGGAGGGAGAUGCUACUGGAGGUGGUUGGGUGGAAGAGGACGAGUUUGCUGGUGGUUCGGCUCCCUCGACAACAUGCUGCAGUGGGCUAUCGGAAAUUCUGAUCCAGAGAAGCUGAAAGAGGAGGAAGCUGAUGUGCAGAUUAGCUGCUGAAGUGGCGUCGGGAGACUAAGGCAGGGUUUAAGCGAUUUAUUUUUGUCGCGUUGGGAACUUGGGAUUCUAAGCACAUGUUCAGUCUUCUUGGAAAGAGUUCAGGGAAGGAUGGAGGUAUGACAGUUCCAGAGAGAGAGUCUGCUUUGGAGGAGGUUGGUGCAAUGGAUGCGGUCUUGGUGAAUACACAUCGGGUUUUCAUUCUUCUGUUCCUUAACCUUUUGCUUCAUGGCUAUAGUGCUACUUGUAACUAUCACUGAAAAUACAAUGUUCAAAUUACAAUUUUCUUUCAUGUAGUUCUACAGGUGGUUUGCAAAACUGGAGUCGGCUGUGAAAUUUGAGUUUUGUUUAAUGUCACUAUUUCUCUUAGCGACAGAAAGAUUAUGAUAACAUUGUUUGCUCACUCUGGAGACAUUGUUUAUUGACAGACAGAGGAGAAUUAUCGCCUCUAUGAGAAUACAUUAGAGGAGCGUGUCAACACAUGUGACAGCAUCCUGAAGCAAUUAAGGCUGCAAUUUUUUUUCAUUUCUUUAUGUUGAAAAAAAUCUGUACAGACGUAUACACCUUUGCCCUUUCAGUUUUAACCUUUUAAAGUGCAUCUCUACAGGUUGAUGAUACAUUGAACUUGUUUGAAGAACUACAGUCCUUGCACUCGAGUGUUGCCACGAAGACUAAAACUUUGCAUGAUGUUUGCGGCCAACUGGGAGCAUGUUUAUGUAGCCAUUCUGAUCAUUUCAUUAUGUUUGUGGAGAAAUAGGGGGCUACUUUUGUGCAAAGCUGAGCAAAUUCUUAGGAGAAUCUGAUGGAGCUGAUGAUCUUGGUCCCGCUGCAAAUAUUAUGGGAUCCUCAAUGAAGCGAACUAAUAUCAAAGUUUAAUUUGGAGGCAUUUAUGGAAUCAGAAUUUUGGUUGAGGAUGGCAUGUGUGCAUCCUAUUUUAUCUUAGUUUGGUAUUAUCUGAUUUAAUCUCGGCGCAUUCGAUGAUGCUACCAAUAUUGUUUGCAUAUCACUAUGACAAGUAUCGAGUUUGCACCAUAUCCUGAUUUGGCAUCAUAAGGAUGCUGUUAGAAGUGAGGUAUAUGUUAAUAUUUUCUGGAUGUGCUACAUUAUUAGCAAUGGUCUGCAAGUUAAUCAUGUGUGAGUUUAAACA
This is a long non-coding RNA of Panicum virgatum (switchgrass), 3675 nucleotides long. RefSeq lists it as uncharacterized. The transcript is spliced from 14 exons. NCBI's taxonomy places the organism in Eukaryota, Viridiplantae, Streptophyta, Magnoliopsida, Poales, Poaceae. The record is from RefSeq and is a predicted model, not a curated record.